RNAcentral lists this transfer RNA (69 nucleotides) under Xenophora japonica. RNAcentral's name for it is "tRNA-Thr". It matches the Rfam family "tRNA". Rfam says of the family: Transfer RNA (tRNA) molecules are approximately 80 nucleotides in length. Their secondary structure includes four short double-helical elements and three loops (D, anti-codon, and T loops). Further hydrogen bonds mediate the characteristic L-shaped molecular structure. tRNAs have two regions of fundamental functional importance: the anti-codon, which is responsible for specific mRNA codon recognition, and the 3' end, to which the tRNAs corresponding amino acid is attached (by aminoacyl-tRNA synthetases). tRNAs cope with the degeneracy of the genetic code in two manners: having more than one tRNA (with a specific anti-codon) for a particular amino acid; and 'wobble' base-pairing, i.e. permitting non-standard base-pairing at the 3rd anti-codon position. The record is from RNAcentral. Lineage: Eukaryota; Metazoa; Mollusca; Gastropoda; Littorinimorpha; Xenophoridae.
AGUAAUAAUAGCUUAAAUCAAAGCAUUGGUCUUGUAAGCCAAAGAUGCACUAAUCUGUGCUUAUUACUA